This 391-nucleotide ribosomal RNA is filed under the name uncultured bacterium. Its description in RNAcentral is "bacterial SSU rRNA". It matches the Rfam family "Bacterial small subunit ribosomal RNA", at positions 505 to 898 of the family's 1533-position model. The record is from RNAcentral.
GUGUCAGCAGCCGCGGUAAUACGUAGGUGGCAAGCGUUGUCCGGAUUUAUUGGGUUUAAAGGGUGCGUAGGCGGUCCUUUAAGUCAGUGCUGAAAUACUCUAGCUUAACUAGAGGGGUGGCAUUGAUACUGGAGGACUUGAAUGAAGUCGAGGUAGGCGGAAUUGACGGUGUAGCGGUGAAAUGCUUAGAUAUCGUCAAGAACACCGAUAGUGAAGACAGCUUACUAGGCUUAGAUUGACGCUGAGGCACGAAAGUGUGGGGAUCAAACAGGAUUAGAUACCCUGGUAGUCCACACUGUAAACGUUGAUUACUCGCUGUGUGCGAUAUACAGUACGCGGCCAAGCGAAAGCGCUAAGUAAUCCACCCGGGGAGUACGCCGGCAACGGUGAA